RNAcentral lists this ribosomal RNA (831 nucleotides) under uncultured bacterium. RNAcentral describes it as "bacterial SSU rRNA". It matches the Rfam family "Bacterial small subunit ribosomal RNA", at positions 21 to 890 of the family's 1533-position model. The record is from RNAcentral.
GGCUCAGGAUGAACGCUGGCGGUAUGCUUUACACAUGCAAGUCGUACGAGAGUUUUUAACUCUAGUGGCGGACGGGUGAGUAACACGUAAGAAUUUGCCUUUAGGAGGGGGACAACAACUGGAAACGGUUGCUAAUACCCCAUAUGCUUUCGAGUGAAAUGGAUUUUUCCGCCUGAAGAGAAGCUUGCGGCUGAUUAGCUUGUUGGUAAGGUAAUGGCUUACCAAGGCGACGAUCAGUAUCUGGUUUGAGAGGACGAUCAGACACACUGGAACUGAGACACGGUCCAGACUCCUACGGGAGGCAGCAGUGAGGAAUUUUCCGCAAUGGGCGAAAGCCUGACGGAGCAAUACCGCGUGAGGGAUGAAGGCCUAUGGGUUGUAAACCUCUUUUUUCAGGGAGGAAUUCAAUGACGUGUACCUGAAGAAUAAGCAUCGGCUAACUCCGUGCCAGCAGCCGCGGUAAGACGGGGGAUGCAAGUGUUAUCCGGAAUCACUGGGCGUAAAGCGUCUGUAGGUGGUUAAAUAAGUCAACUGUUAAAUCUUGAGGCUUAACUUCAAAAUCGCAGUCGAAACUGUUUGACUAGAGUAUAGUAGGGGUAAAGGGAAUUUCCAGUGGAGCGGUGAAAUGCGUAGAGAUUGGAAAGAACACCGAUGGCGAAGGCACUUUACUGGGCUAUUACUAACACUGAGAGACGAAAGCUAGGGUAGCAAAUGGGAUUAGAUACCCCAGUAGUCCUAGCUGUAAACAAUGGAUACUAGAUGUUGAACAGAUCGACCUGUGCAGUAUCAAAGCUAACGCGUUAAGUAUCCCGCCUGGGAAGUAUGCUCGCA